Molecule: ribosomal RNA, 465 nt
Filed under: uncultured bacterium
Lineage: Bacteria
Description: partial 16S ribosomal RNA
Rfam family: Bacterial small subunit ribosomal RNA
Source: RNAcentral
GACGAACGCUGGCGGCGUGCUUAACACAUGCAAGUCGAACGGAAAGGCCCCUUCGGGGGUACUCGAGUGGCGCACGGGUGCGUAACACGUGAGUAACCUGCCCUUGACUUCGGGAUAACUUCAGGAAACUGGGGCUAAUACCGGAUAGGAAUCCUUGCUGCAUGGUGGGGGUUGGAAAGCUUCGGCGGUUUUGGAUGGACUCGCGGCUUAUCAGCUUGUUGGUGGGGUAGUGGCUUACCAAGGCUUUGACGGGUAGCCGGCCUGAGAGGGCGACCGGCCACAUUGGGACUGAGAUACGGCCCAGACUCCUACGGGAGGCAGCAGUGGGGAAUAUUGCACAAUGGGCGGAAGCCUGAUGCAGCAACGCCGCGUGCGGGAUGACGGCCUUCGGGUUGUAAACCGCGUUCAGCAGGGGCGAAGCUUGUGGUGACGGUACCUGCAGAAGAAGCACCGGCUAACUACGUG